GAGGAAGGUGGGGAUGACGUCAAGUCCUCAUGGCCCUUAUGUCCUGGGCUACACACGUGCUACAAUGGCGGUGACAGUGGGAAGCCAGGCAGCGAUGCCGAGCUGAUCCUCAAAAGCCGUCUCAGUUCGGAUUGCACUCUGCAACUCGGGUGCAUGAAGGUGGAAUCGCUAGUAAUCGUGGAUCAGCAUGCCACGGUGAAUACGUUCCCGGGCCUUGUACACACCGCCCGUCACACCAUGGGAUUUGGUUUGACCUUAAGUUGGUGCGCUAAUCGCAAGGAGGCAGCCAACCACGGUCGGGUUAGAGACUGGGGUGAAGUCGUAACAAGGUAGCCGUAA
This 339-nucleotide ribosomal RNA is filed under the name uncultured bacterium. Its description in RNAcentral is "bacterial SSU rRNA". It matches the Rfam family "Bacterial small subunit ribosomal RNA", at positions 1166 to 1505 of the family's 1533-position model. The record is from RNAcentral.